UACGUAGGUGGCAAGCGUUGUCCGGAAUUAUUGGGCGUAAAGCGCGCGCAGGCGGUCCUUUAAGUCUGAUGUGAAAGCCCACGGCUCAACCGUGGAGGGUCAUUGGAAACUGGGGGACUUGAGUACAGAAGAGAAGAGUGGAAUUCCACGUGUAGCGGUGAAAUGCGUAGAGAUGUGGAGUAACACCAGUGGCGAAGGCGACUCUUUGGUCUGUAACUGACGCUGAGGUGCGAAAGCGUGGGGAGCAAACAGG
This 253-nucleotide ribosomal RNA is filed under the name uncultured bacterium. Its description in RNAcentral is "partial 16S ribosomal RNA". It matches the Rfam family "Bacterial small subunit ribosomal RNA", at positions 524 to 776 of the family's 1533-position model. The record is from RNAcentral.